Non-coding RNA from Paramuricea clavata, 95 nucleotides. Lineage: Eukaryota; Metazoa; Cnidaria; Anthozoa; Malacalcyonacea; Plexauridae. The record is from the annotation of a GenBank genome assembly.
CUGGAUCAUUUCUUUACAUAUCUUUCUUUGAGAACAUGCAUUGAUAAAGAUCAAUGCAUGUUCUCAAAGAAAGAUAUGUAAAGAAAUGUGGGAAA